Lontra canadensis (Northern American river otter) is the source of this 662-nucleotide long non-coding RNA. RefSeq lists it as uncharacterized. The transcript is spliced from 4 exons. The record is from RefSeq and is a predicted model, not a curated record. Lineage: Eukaryota; Metazoa; Chordata; Mammalia; Carnivora; Mustelidae.
GUUCCCUGCGUCAGAAUCUCGGCCCCCAGGCCUGCACCCUUGGGGUCUCCACGCACAUUCGAGUCCCUUCAACCGCGCCUCCCACCGCGAUCUCGUGUGUCAAAGCCAGACCUGGUCAUCUUUUUGGAGUAAGAAAAGGAGCUCUGGGAUAUGAAGAGAAAGGAGAACACAUCCAUCCACCCAGGUCUUGCUAUAUCUAAGCCAGACCUACGUACCUUUUCGGAGCAGAAGAGAAAGUCCUGGGAUGUGAAGUAGAGGAAGACAGUAGUUGUACAACCAGGUGAAGUGAUGACUGCAUUUCUGCCUGGAGUUGAGGUCACAGAAUCACAAACCCAAAGUCUCCAAAAAGUGCUGAAAGCAGAAAACUGCCAAGAAUACUCUACCUGGCACACUUGUCCUUCAAAGUGGAGAGAAGUUUCCCAGGCAAGUGUAGGCUGAAGGAGUUGACUGGCCUUUGGAGAUAUGUUAAAGCAACUUCUUCAAGCUGAAAUGAAAGGACAUGUAAUUCGAUUUAUACUUUCACAUGUUUUCCUGUUACCAACUAGUAAAGGUAAACACAUAGUUAAAUUCAGAAUAUUCUCAUGUUGUGUUGGUGGUGGGUAAAUCACCCUAACUCUAGCAUGGAAAUUACAAGUAUUAAAAAUAAUUGUAACAAAUAAUUU